GAUGAACGCUGGCGGCGUGCUUAACACAUGCAAGUCGAACGUACAGGCCCUGCUUUUGUGGGGUGCUCGAGUGCCGCACGGGUGAGUAACACGUGAGUAACCCGCCCUUGACUUAGGGAUAACUCUACGAAACUCGGGCGAAUACCGGAUAUGAGCUCUUGCUCCACGGUGGGGGUUGGACAGAGUCGGCGGUUGGGGCUGGACUCGCGGCUUAUCAGCUUCUUGGUGUGGUAGUGGCUUACGAAGGCUUCCACGGGUAGCCCGCCUGAGAGGGUGACCGGCCACAGUGGGACUGAGGUACGGAGCAGACGGGAACGGGAGGCAGAGGUGGGAAAUAUUGCACAAUGGGCGGAAGCGUGAUGCAGCAACGCCGCGUGCGGGAUAACCGCUUACGGGUUGUAAACCGAUUUCUCCUGUGAUGUAGCCUGAGUGACGGUACUGGGUCAAAAAGCACCGGCUAACUACGUG
This 468-nucleotide ribosomal RNA is filed under the name uncultured bacterium. RNAcentral describes it as "partial 16S ribosomal RNA". It matches the Rfam family "Bacterial small subunit ribosomal RNA", at positions 28 to 507 of the family's 1533-position model. The record is from RNAcentral.